UUGGAGAGUUUGAUCCUGGCUCAGGACGAACGCUGGCGGCGUGCUUAACACAUGCAAGUCGAACGGAAAGGCCCCUUCGGGGGUACUCGAGUGGCGAACGGGUGAGUAACACGUGGGCAAUCUGCCCUGCACUUCGGGAUAAGCCUGGGAAACUGGGUCUAAUACCGGAUAGGACCUUUAGGCGCAUGUCUAUUGGUGGAAAGCUUUUGCGGUGUGGGAUGGGCCCGCGGCCUAUCAGCUUGUUGGUGGGGUGAUGGCCUACCAAGGCGACGACGGGUAGCCGGCCUGAGAGGGUGUCCGGCCACACUGGGACUGAGAUACGGCCCAGACUCCUACGGGAGGCAGCAGUGGGGAAUAUUGCACAAUGGGCGCAAGCCUGAUGCAGCGACGCCGCGUGGGGGAUGACGGCCUUCGGGUUGUAAACCUCUUUCACCAUCGACGAAGGUCCGGGUUUUCUCGGAUUGACGGUAGGUGGAGAAGAAGCACCGGCCAACUACGUGCCAGCAGCCGCGGUAAUACGUAGGGUGCGAGCGUUGUCCGGAAUUACUGGGCGUAAAGAGCUCGUAGGUGGUUUGUCGCGUUGUUCGUGAAAUCUCACGGCUUAACUGUGAGCGUGCGGGCGAUACGGGCAGACUAGAGUACUGCAGGGGAGACUGGAAUUCCUGGUGUAGCGGUGGAAUGCGCAGAUAUCAGGAGGAACACCGGUGGCGAAGGCGGGUCUCUGGGCAGUAACUGACGCUGAGGAGCGAAAGCGUGGGGAGCGAACAGGAUUAGAUACCCUGGUAGUCCACGCCGUAAACGGUGGGUACUAGGUGUGGGUUUCCUUCCUUGGGAUCCGUGCCGUAGCUAACGCAUUAAGUACCCCGCCUGGGGAGUACGGCCGCAAGGCUAAAACUCAAAGGAAUUGACGGGGGCCCGCACAAGCGGCGGAGCAUGUGGAUUAAUUCGAUGCAACGCGAAGAACCUUACCUGGGUUUGACAUGCACAGGACGCGUCUAGAGAUAGGCGUUCCCUUGUGGCCUGUGUGCAGGUGGUGCAUGGCUGUCGUCAGCUCGUGUCGUGAGAUGUUGGGUUAAGUCCCGCAACGAGCGCAACCCUUGUCUCAUGUUGCCAGCGGGUAAUGCCGGGGACUCGUGAGAGACUGCCGGGGUCAACUCGGAGGAAGGUGGGGAUGACGUCAAGUCAUCAUGCCCCUUAUGUCCAGGGCUUCACACAUGCUACAAUGGCCGGUACAAAGGGCUGCGAUGCCGUAAGGUUAAGCGAAUCCUUUUAAAGCCGGUCUCAGUUCGGAUUGGGGUCUGCAACUCGACCCCAUGAAGUCGGAGUCGCUAGUAAUCGCAGAUCAGCAACGCUGCGGUGAAUACGUUCCCGGGCCUUGUACACACCGCCCGUCACGUCAUGAAAGUCGGUAACACCCGAAGCCAGUGGCCUAACCUUUUGGAGGGAGCUGUCGAAGGUGGGAUCGGCGAUUGGGACGAAGUCGUAACAAGGUA
Molecule: ribosomal RNA, 1493 nt
Filed under: Mycobacterium arosiense
Lineage: Bacteria; Bacillati; Actinomycetota; Actinomycetes; Mycobacteriales; Mycobacteriaceae
Description: 16S ribosomal RNA
Rfam family: Bacterial small subunit ribosomal RNA
Source: RNAcentral